CCCAGUAGCUCUUUAUUAAGAGUAGAAAUGUUGAGGCAGUAACGGAAACACCUUAUUUUAAUUUAUUAUUCAUAUAUAAUCCUGGGAAUAUACGGGCAUCAAUUAUAUUUCUUAGAAAUUCUUUGCAGACAAGCCCAAAGUUCCUUAGGUUUAGACAUCAUGGACAUGUGAUCGGAUCCUAGUAUCUCUUUCACUUCAUCGGGUGGAUUUUUUUGGAUCAUCCAUUGUUGAAAAUCUUUCUCCAAGAUCAAAUCUUUCUCUGCAAUGAUAAAAACUCUUUUAACCGAGCCAUAUUUCUCCCUCGUUAGUACAAGGUCCCUUGACAAUUCUUGAUCAGUAAAUAGACGUGUUUCCCUCAUCAGUGUUGUGGCCAAUGUCCAGUCCUGAAGCCAUUUUGUCAUCAUAAAUUUCAUCAGAAUCUCAAUAUUAAGAGAAUAAAUGUAAAAAAUUGUGACAUACUGGGUCUUAAAAGAAAGAAAAAAAACCCACAUUUUGCUUAUGAAUCUGUAAAGUUAUUACCUCAAUUGGACUGAGCUGAUACAAUCUUAAAAGUAAGUGUUUGGGCCCAAAGAUAAAAGAUGUUGGUGGGUUAUUCGGGCCAUUAUCGAAUGUGAAGCGGGUGUCUAACGUAUCAGUUAGUCUUCUUACACGCUUCGGUCAUAACACAAGCACAAGAAAAGUGAAAAAGUUGAAAAUUGUGAGACAUGAGAAGAAUGUAACUUAACAAAUUGAUUGCAUGUUGUGAUAUAAAAAGUAUAACUAGAUAUUCAUCACAAAUAAAUAAGUCAAGCUAAUCAAUCGAAUAAGAGUUUUUUUUUCUUUCUGCAUGUACCUCUUGAUUAAGAGUGGAAAUGUUAAGGGAAGGGCCUGGCAUGAAGGCAGUAAGGAAAACAGCCACGGAAAUCUUGCUUGGAAGUCUCUCCAUGGUUUGAGAAAGUGCCAAUCCCCCUAAGCUAUGACCAACAAGGAUAACCUUUUCAUUUGGUGGUAGAGAUGCCAGAAGAUCUCUCAACGGCCUAAUAUAGUCAGAUAUUGAUUGAAGAUCGCUAAUCUGCCGCGGGUCAAUCCCAGAAGCUGCUAAAUCUAUAGUGGUAACAUUGUGACCUGAUGAUCUUAAUAGAGGCACAAGUUUGUACCAACACCAGGCACCAUGGCCUGCCCCGUGAACUAGCACAAAAUGCUUGCUAGGAUUAUGGAGUGGCUGCGAUAAGGCCUUAUUGGCUGCAAUAUUGAGAAGGAUGAUGAAAAUGGAAAUUAACACCAAAUGUUUCUUGGCUUGCUCCAUGCUAAUUCUCUUGAAGUGCUAGGUUUCUACAAGGCUUAUCCUUAGGCUUAUAUGAGUUUUAAAGUCAGACUCUGCUCGCAGUUUAUAUAUAUAUAUACAUGUGCGCGCGCGCUGCGCCAUAAAUAAAGGUACAAAAUGGUUAAUCUCUGUCAACAAUCACCUGUAGUCAAUAGCUUGAAACGUCAAGAAAAGGCUAAGCUCGUGGAUUACCUAGCUUGGUAGCUGGAAUUAAAUAGAAAGAAAGAUUUUUCCGUAGAUCAAGAACCCCUUGGUCAUGCAAUUCGGUCGUAGGUUUACUGAUAAGGACACGGUAGAAAAUUAAUAGUAAAAACUGAAAUUGCCUCCUAAUUACAAUUUCCACUGUAAGAAAAAUAGAAUAAUAAAUUGCCCAAGGCCCUAAAUUAGGUCCCAAAGUCUUGAUUAACUAGCACAAGAGAAGAGACAGAAAGCUCAAGGAAAAGAGUUUAUCCUACAUCCACAGGAUGAACCCACGUGAAUUUAGCCUCUAAAAGUGAACCCAAACUCCUGGCAUCCCUAGAUCAGCGUGGUUCUGAAUGAAACUGGACACAAAGGCCUUAUAACACCUUCAUAAUUUCGGUUGCAGAAAUUGUUGAAGAUAUGACUUAUAUUUGUUUCGUCUAUAUUCUUCACAAAAUCAAUUAAACUAGUUUGAUAAUUCAACUUUAAUCAUUGCGUUUCUAGAAAUUAUACCAAAUUUCAAUACUUUUCAUAAUCAUCUGCAUGUUUUACUUUUUCUCGAAGGACUUGUUUCUUGAUGGACCGUAUAUCAUGACUUUGUCGUUUUUUUUUUUUACAUUUAUUUAUUAUACCAAAUGCUAUCCAUUUGUUAAUAUAGAAGUGUUUAGAGGUUUCGUUAGCAGGUUUAAUGAUACUAUAGUAUCAAUAAAUUUCAAAUGACUUUGUCGUUUUUUUUAUUUUUACAUUUAUUUAUUUUUUUGUUCAACCCGCCACACGCCAAUGAGUUAGUCGUUGAUCACUAGAUAAUGUAAUUAACCACGUUGAUGAUGUAGAGAAACCAGGAUGAUGGGAAUACCAUAGGCAUCCGUAGGAGUACCAAAUUUGUAGUUUUCUCUCAAAAUUUCAAUGGUGCGAUUAGGCGAUAACUGCAUGCUAGUUUUUGUCUGAGAAUGGUUUGUUCGUUGACUUUACUUCAAUGGUGCGAUUAGGCGAUAACUGCAUGCUAGUUUUUGUCUGAGAAUGGUUUGUUCGUUGACUUUACUGAUUUGUCUGAGAAUGGUUUGUUCGUUGACUUUACUGAUAAUGAAUAAUGUCACCAACAUAUUGAUGAUAUAUAUAUAUAUAUAUGCAGUUGGAGUUGGCUUCACGCAACCCAAUCUUCAUCUGUUUUUCUCUUGAUCACUUCUCAACAUUAUCUUGAGAAAGGAUGGUCAGGGCAGUGACAUAAACAGAGGCUGAGUGUAAUAUUGUUGUUUUUUUUUAUUUUAAAGAAAUAAGAAUUUGAGGUGGUUCCGUUGUGAAAUUAUCUCCGGAAAUGGAGACUUUAUGGUCAGCAACGUCGCUGGAAAAUACGGGGAGGGUUGCCAAAAACCCACGUCUACUUCCUCCAUCGAAGCAGCCGACAUGCCAUCUUCUUCUUUGAAAGGAUACCAUGCAGUACUGCAUGUGCUUGGGCGCCCACCACGGAAGUCUAUUUGGAAAAAAAAAAGAAAAGGAAGCAUUUUCUCAUUUUUCUUUUCUUUUCUUUUUAUUAAUUCCCUUGUUUAUUCUUUUUAAGAAAAGAAAAAUAAAAAUUAAUCUCUCUUUUUAUUUUUCUCUUUCCGUUCCACACUUCUUCUAACCCUGUAUUUCUUACAAACGAACUUUUAAAAAAUAAGUAUAUAUUACGAUAAAAAAAAAAGGUACUUUAAAUUUUUUUUUGUUAUGAUCACGGCCAUAUAUAUGAUUCAUACUCUCACUCUACAAAUAACAAUAAUGGAUAAAACGGUGAAGGUUGCAAUAAUCUCCUUUAUUCAUAGCAAAUUCCAUUAUUUUUAAUACAUGGCACCGUGACGCCAAAGUUCCAUUUGUGAUUUUUACAAGGUACUGCCAUUUAUAGGCAGCAGCGUCUUAUUACUUGUUGAUGGACAAUAUUGCUCGAUCAGUCCAAUUUUUCGGCCAGCUCUGAUUCGGGUAUCUUGAAGUGAUAAAUCUGGAUGUUCUCAACAUCAAGCUUCUGGAAAUUACUACGUUUUCUUGUGACGAGAAAUUUGCCCCAGUUGUAUGGUUUGUAUUUGGCAGGGUUUUGCUGAUUUAUGAGCUCCUCCAAGGGCUGCACGUUGGUGUAGUGUGCUGGGCUGAGGAAAUAGGGAAUGGAAAAUCUUUCCUUUUCAGAAUUCACCAUCGCCCUGUGCUCCACGCUCUCAUAAAUGUCAUUGCUCCAUACCUAUAAAAACAAUUAACAUUUGAAACAAUAGCGUUGAUUCUAUAUGUUAAUGUUAAUUUCAGAGUUUUUGGAAAAGGAUAUACCUGAAUAAUGUCACCAACAUUGAUGAUGUAGGCAUUUGGGGUUGGCUUGACCCAAAGCCACUCUCCAUCUGUUUUUCUCUUCACUUCUAGCCCUCCAACAUCAUCUUGAGCAAGGAUGGUCAAGGCCAUGGCGUCCUUGUGUCGACCAACGCCGAGUGCGAGGUCAGGGACUGGGCAAGGUGGGUAGUGGUUGAGUCUAAUGAAGCUGGUUUGUUCUUUAAAGAAUCCAUGGAACUUGUCUUUUGGCAAGCCUAGACUCAGGGCUAUCAGCCCCAUCAAUUUGCAAGCUAGUUUUUCCAUUUCUUUAGCAUACUCUUCACAGACCUCUCUGUUCAUUGAAAUGUGUUAGAUUGCAUAGAGUAAUUAAAGCCCGCUAAAAUUAAUAAUUAGAGGUGUUCUGAUCUGUUUAAUGAGACUGUGGUGGUAAAUGUUAUGUUUUAAAGUGUUUUAUAUAUGUAAAUAUAUAAAAAUAAUAUUUUUUUAAAUUUUAAAAAUUUACAUCAAAACCAUUUAAAAAUACUAAAAAAAUAAAAAUCAAAGCAAAUUUUUAUUUCAAAAAUAACAAAAAGAUGGUUCAACUGAAAUGCAAAAUAAACUCUUAGUUUAAGGUCUCGUUUGUUUGCUGAAAAGUAGUUUCUUUUUAGAAAAUGAUUUCUUUAAAAAAUAAAUUCUGAGAAAGUGAAUUAUUUUUCGAUGUUUGGUAGUGUCAUGAAAAAUAAGUUGGAAAACACUUUCUAGUGUUUGGUUAUGUCAUGUAAAAUGAGUUGAAAAAUAACUUAUUAAUGUUUUAUUUUUUUUCAAGUUUAUUAAAAUAAUGAGGAACAAAUCUUACAAAUUUAAAAGUUGAAUAAGAAUGAAAUUGAAAAAAAAAUAUAAUUUCAUAAAUUAUGUCAAAUAAAAUAAAUAAUAAUCAAAUUAAUAAAGAUCAAAUCUAACAAAUAAAAAAAAUUGAAAGAUGAUGAAAUUAAAAUAAUUAUAAUUAUAAUUUCAUAAAUUAUUUCAAAUAAAAUAAGUAACAAUCAAAAGAAUGAGGACCAAAUUUGAUAGAUAAAAAAUUUCAAUUAAAAAAUGAUAAGAGAAAAGCAAAUAGCAAUCAUAAAAAUAAGGAUCAAAGUUAAUAUAAAAAUCAAAUUCUAAAUGAUGAAAUUGAAAAAAAAAUCAAAACAAAAUAUAUAUAGUAAUCAAAAGUUUGAGGACCAAAUUUGAUAUAAUCAGUAAAUAAUAUGAUAUUUCUAAAUUUUUCACAACUUCUGGAAAGUGUUUUCCGUUCAAAAUAAAAGGAAAACACUUUUCUGAAAACCAAGCCAAAUUUUCUUUUGAAUGGAAAGUGUUUUUCAUUAACCAACUUUUCUAAUAGCAAACAAACACAGAAAAAUUUAAAAAAUAAUUUCUAGAAAACCACUUGCCAUCAAAGAAAUGAGACAUAAUAUUAUUUUUAGGUUAAACUAACCAUAGGACCAGUGAAUUUUGGAUAUAUCAUUGCUUAUUUCAAAACAGAAAAUUCUAUAAAAGCGCAAAAGUUAUAUAUAGCGGAGAACUUCCAGAGGUAUAGCAAAAAAAGAAAAACACAAUUAUUGAAACAUCACAUUUUUCACUCAUUCUUUAUUGUAAUUUCAUCGGUGGGUAAACAAAAGUAAAAAAUAAAUUUUCAGAAGAAGAGAGAAAACAAUAGUAUAUACCUCAGGUCAUUGGGGUAUUCAGGCCACUGAUUAAACCACUUGGUUAGUUCCUCAUCAUCAGGCUUAUAUGAAGCAGGGACAGCCGUUGGAUCCUGGACUUUGAGAUCGAACACUUCUUUCCAGUCCCUAACAUUCUUGGUAUGCUCAGUGUCAUAAUAACCCAACACUUUCUCCUCAUUUCUCCUCACCUUCCUUUUCUCUUCCAGAGGCUGACCAAAAAAUUCUCUUGAUGCUUUCUCAAUGUUGUGUCGCUUAGCAAGCGGCACCCCAUGAUUGAUCACUUGAAAAAAUCCCCAAUCUUUGCAUGCAUUGCCUAUUUCCUCAACAAGACCACCAAGUGCUUGAUCGUUGUCUAAGUUGGAAUUAGGAGAGCUGAUUAUGGAAAGAUCAAUUAAGGGUAUUCCUUCUGCUCUAGUGAUCUCAGGUUUCGGCCUGUGUUCUUGGGCUUGAAUGAAGGCUGGAUCAACCUCUCCCAUGGUGAUUUCCUUCUCCUUUGAUGUUGAUUAAGAAACCUAGAUCAACCAAGUUUGUGUUUGUAAGAAAAAAAAUAGCGGUUAUGUGGCUUUUUAUACCUUGUUAGCAGGUCUAAUGCAAAGUGAAUCUAGACAGCCUUUGGUGUAGUGUUAAGAGGGGAAUUAACUAGGUAAUGUCUACAGUGUUGUCUUGGAAUGCCGUGACGUUUGUGCUGGCAUGGCAAAGGUUGCUUCAAACGGCCAUAUGGCGACAAUGAUAGAUCGGCCACCACACUCUGUUCUGGUCCAUUAUUCUUUUACCGUAAACGAAAGAUUUCAUAUCAUUUUGUCUGAAUAAAUUAUAAUAACCGUGUAGUUAAAUCAUCCAAAUUCAUGAUUGUUUGUGUGAGAAUGAUUUAAAUCGUAAUAACUUCUUAUAUGAUUAAAUAGUUGCCGGAAAGAUUAGGAGUUUAGAUUUUAUCAAGGAUUGGGUUCAAGAAGAAGAAGAAGAAGGUUUAUCAAGGAUCAAUCUGUUGUCAAGAGUAGAAAUGUAUAAUGCAGAAUUGAAUUUAAUGAUUUAAACUUGCAUGCUUACCCUGAAUUAAUUUAUCAAAAAUAUUUAUUCAUUGGUUUAGAAUUAAAUUUAUUCAAUUUAAAUCUGAUAGUAAGGAAAUAGAGCCGUCAUCAACAAGUAAAUUACUGAACUUUCACCCCCCAUGAGGCCCACCACGAUUUUCGUGAAUCUUAGAUCAAUCAGUACAUUCUAGGUUACUAUCUCGCGCUAUGAUAUAUGUUAAAUAAAAAAAAAUCAACAUAAAAAAAUAAAUGUUCAUAGCAUAAAGAAUUCUUUAAUAUUAUUAUUAAAUAAAUUAAAUUUUAAAUCUUUUACCGUAACUACUCUCCAAUUUAAUUCAACCAACUUGAUAUAUUCAAAGAUAACUUAAAUGUUUGAUAAAACAUGAUUUGGAUUUAAAAAAAAAACUCAAGAUGAUUUUUUUUAAAAAAAAAUUAUUAAAAUAAUAAUAUAUUAAAUCGAGUUGACUUCACGGCUUAACCCGUUAAAUCCAUGACUCUAGUUAUGAGGUUUAAUAAUUUUAUUUUUUAAAAUUAUUUUUUAUUUAAUUAUAUGAAAAAAAUAAAUCAUUAUAAAAUUAAAUACUAACUAAAUAUAAAAAUAUUUAUUUAAGACUAUAAUAAACUAAGAGAAGGCAAAUUGAAACAAAUAUGUUGUCAUGCAAUUAGUAGCUAGAUUAGAAAGAAAGAUAUUUCCCAGGAUUCUAAAACUCCUUGGUCAUGCAAUUCGGCCGGACGUUUACCGAUAAGGACACGGUAGAAAAUUAAGAGUACAAACUAAAAUUGCCUCCUAAUUUCAAUUUCCUCUGUAAAAAAGAAUAAAUUGCCUAAGGCCCUAAAUGAGGUCUGAAACUGGACACAGAGGCCUAACACCUUCAUAAUUUCGGUUGCAGAAAUUGUUGAAGAUAUGACUUAUAUUUGUUUCGUCUAUAUUCUUCACAAAAUCAAUUAAAUUAGUUUGAUGAUUCAACUUUAAUCAUCUGCGUUUCAACAUGUCAAGAUAAUUAUUUGAUAUAGACGCAGUUUAAAAUUAAAUUACAUUAAAAAUUUCUUGAAUGCUACAUUGAUGAGCAUGAAUGCUGACUUUAGGUGGGUAUCAUAUCAGUAACAAAAGAGGUGCGUGGGCAAGGCCGGCUGUUGGAUAACCAUGGAUACCCGAUCGAGUUCGGGUAGGCGAAGACUCGGGUUUGGAUAUGAAUAUUACAAAACCUGACCCGUAGGAUUCAUAAUUAGAUGUCAUUUCAACAGCAAAGAUCUUAUCUGAUACCAGUACAUUUAUUAAUUCUGGCACCCUUGAACUCAAAUAUAUUUAUACCGUGAGCAAAUUCGUAACUCAUACUUCUGGAGAUAUUUUUUUGCUAAUUACAAAGAUUAGCAUGUCCGCAUGAAAGACAUGCUACAAGUUAAUUGAACUUGACCCCUCUUGUGCCGAUCUUUGCUCUUCCGACAUAAAGCUUCAAUUACUAAAAUAAAGAUGAAAAUUAAGAGCAAGGAAAAAAACGCAAUUACCCAGUAGCUCUUUAUUAAGAGUAGAAAUGUUGAGGCAGUAACGGAAACACCUUAUUUUAAUUUAUUAUUCAUAUAUAAUCCUAGAAAUAUAUGGGCAUCAAUUAUAUUUCUUAGAAAUUCUUUGCAGACAAGCCCAAAGUUCCUUAGGUUUAGACAUCAUGGACAUGUGAUCGGAUCCUAGUAUCUCUUUCACUUCAUUGGGUGGAUUUUUUUGGAUCAUCCAUUGUUGAAAAUCUUUCUCCAAUGUCAAAUCUUUCUCUGCAAUGAUAAAAACUCUUUUAACCGAGCCAUAUUUCUCCCUCGUUAGUACAAG
This 8298-nucleotide long non-coding RNA is filed under the name Populus trichocarpa (black cottonwood). RNAcentral describes it as "long non-coding RNA (PTRI_LNC002346)". Lineage: Eukaryota; Viridiplantae; Streptophyta; Magnoliopsida; Malpighiales; Salicaceae. The record is from RNAcentral.